CCUACGGGGGGCAGCAGUGAGGAAUAUUGGUCAAUGGACGAGAGUCUGAACCAGCCAAGUAGCGUGAAGGAUGACUGCCCUAUGGGUUGUAAACUUCUUUUAUAUGGGAAUAAAAUGUUCCACGUGUGGGAUUUUGUAUGUACCAUAUGAAUAAGGAUCGGCUAACUCCGUGCCAGCAGCCGCGGUAAUACGGAGGAUCCGAGCGUUAUCCGGAUUUAUUGGGUUUAAAGGGAGCGUAGGUGGAUUGUUAAGUCAGUUGUGAAAGUUUGCGGCUCAACCGUAAAAUUGCAGUUGAAACUGGCAGUCUUGAGUACAGUAGAGGUUGGCGGAAUUCGUGGUGUAGCGGUGAAAUGCUUAGAUAUCACGAAGAACUCCGAUUGCGAAGGCAGUUCACUGGACUGCAACUGACACUGAGGCUCGAAAGUGUGGGUAUCAAACAGGAUUAGAUACCCGAGUAGUC
Molecule: ribosomal RNA, 460 nt
Filed under: uncultured bacterium
Lineage: Bacteria
Description: partial 16S ribosomal RNA
Rfam family: Bacterial small subunit ribosomal RNA
Source: RNAcentral